This 950-nucleotide long non-coding RNA is filed under the name Mus musculus (house mouse). RNAcentral describes it as "long non-coding RNA chr1:39545923-39546873". The record is from RNAcentral. Lineage: Eukaryota; Metazoa; Chordata; Mammalia; Rodentia; Muridae.
UUAAUUUUUUUUUUUUAAGACAGGGUCCAUCUAUGUAAUUCUGGCGCUCACUAUGUAGAGCAGGCUGGCCUUGAAAUCAGAGAUCCUUCUGCCUCUGCAUGCUGUGAUUAAAGGUGUAUACCACCAAAUCCAGCCUUUUUAAAAAAUGUCUGACAUACCAUUUUAUUUAAAGAAAUUAUGAAGAAUUCCUUUUAUGGAGAUAUCUCUAGAACCGAUUUAUGGGGACAGAAUCUGUUCUCCCACAUCCGGCAAGGCUUAAAGGAAGCCAAGCUUGGUGAUUUUGUCUUACUGUACAAUUACAAUCUCCUAACAGUGGAGAAGGAACAAGAAACAAUAAUCCUUGCGCCCCUGUGGGAGUGACCCCCUCUGAACUAGAGAGCUGACUCCUCUCAAUGCUCUGUAGUGGCCACUGCUAUUUUACAGAUGGCACUGGGCCAACAACAGCCCAUGAACAAAGCACUGUUUUAGAAUGACAAGUUUCAAAGACUUACUGUGGGCAACAAGCUCCACAGCUGAUAGGCAUGUCUUGUAGCUCAGGUUAGCUAUGGCCACAGCCCAACACAAAAUAAAAAAUGUAAUUAAAAUGACAGUAGCCAGAUGCAGAUACUCCCAACCAUUGGACUGAAGUUGGGGACCCCUAUGGUUGGAUUAGAGGAAGGAUUGAAGAAGCUGAAGGGGAGGACCAACCCAUAGGAAGACCAGUGUUCUCAACUAAACCCGACCCCUGGGAGCUCCCGAAGACUGAGCCACCAACCAAGCAGUACCAUGGCUGAUCCAAGCACAUACACAGCAGAGGGCUGCCUGGUCUGGCCUCUGGGAGAAGAUGCACUCGAUCCUUUAGAGACUUGAGGCCUCUGGGAAGGGGGGAGGUGGGGCGGGGCACAGAACCUUGGGGGUGGGGGUAGGAGUGGGAUGGGGGAGCAACAGCUGAAAUGUAAAUAAAAUAAUUU